GUCCAAGUCGCAAUCACAUUUAUUGGGUCUAAAACAUUCGUAGCUUGCCUUGCCAGUCUCUUGUGAAAUCCCGCCUCUUAAGGGUGGAAGUGCGAGAGAUACUACAAGGCUAGAGACCGGGAGACGUAUUGAGUACUGUGGGAGUAGCGGUAAAAUGUGUUGAUCCUCACAGGACUAACAACAGCGAAGGCACGAUACGAGAACGGAUCUGACAGUGAGGAAUGAAGGCUAGGGGCGCAAAGUG
Molecule: ribosomal RNA, 244 nt
Filed under: uncultured archaeon
Lineage: Archaea
Description: partial 16S ribosomal RNA
Rfam family: Archaeal small subunit ribosomal RNA
Source: RNAcentral